AUUCCAGCUCCGAUAGCGUAUAUUAAUGUUGUUGCAGUUAAAAAGCUCGUAGUUGGAUUUCUGGAUUGAGCGGCUGGCCUUGCGCGCAAGCGUUCGUGUCGGCUUCGUUUCGGUCCAUCCUCAGGGGGACUUGCGCUGGCAUUAACGUGUCGGUGUUGGGACGCCUGUCGUUUACUGUGAACAAAUUAGAGUGUUCAAAGCAAGGUGUACUUGAAUACAUUAGCAUGGAAUAAUAAGAUAGGACUUUGGUGGUUCUUUUUAGAUAUUUUGUUGGUUUGCACGCCAAAGUAAUGAUUAAUAGGAGCAGUUGGGGGUAUUCGUAUUCAAUUGUCAGAGGUGAAAUUCUUGGAUUUAUAGAAGACGAACUACUGCGAAAGCAUUUACCAAGGAUGUUUUCAUCA
Molecule: ribosomal RNA, 401 nt
Filed under: Pseudopedinella sp.
Lineage: Eukaryota; Dictyochophyceae; Pedinellales
Description: partial small subunit ribosomal RNA
Rfam family: Eukaryotic small subunit ribosomal RNA
Source: RNAcentral